CCACCAAAAGCGGAAGGGAGAUGAUAGCUGAAAGCCUCGAGUCUCCAAGGUUGAGAACCAAUACAAAUCAAGCACGCCGUAAGUUUUGAUUAUGUUCGGCAGAAGUAGAUUUCUUUCUUUUCCGAUGGUGAUUGGAGCUGUCGUGAUCGGUGUGGUUUCUGGUAAGGCAAUAUUUGGACCACCAAUUGAUGAGUAUUGGAAAAAGAAGCUUCAGGAAGAAGCAUCAGCAAAGGAGGAGGACUCAAGCUCCACUUAGCUCUCCAUCGCAUUAAGUCUUG
This is a long non-coding RNA of Neltuma alba, 278 nucleotides long. RefSeq lists it as uncharacterized. Lineage: Eukaryota; Viridiplantae; Streptophyta; Magnoliopsida; Fabales; Fabaceae. The transcript is spliced from 3 exons. The record is from RefSeq and is a predicted model, not a curated record.